This is an RNA transcript of Mastomys coucha (southern multimammate mouse), 531 nucleotides long. It is a transcript of the gene named interferon-induced transmembrane protein 1 pseudogene, with no coding region annotated. The transcript has a single exon. Lineage: Eukaryota; Metazoa; Chordata; Mammalia; Rodentia; Muridae. The record is from RefSeq and is a predicted model, not a curated record.
AUUCACAACUCUUCCAGCCUCAAAAGCCAAGAGAUGCCUAAGGAGCAGCAAGAGGUGGUUGUAGUAGGGGGACCCUACAUCUCAACUUCUGCGACAACCACCACAAUCAACAUGCCUAAGAUCUCCAUGCCUGACCAUGUGGUCUGGUCCCUGUUCAAUACAAUCUUCAUGAACUUCUUCUCCCUGGACUUCACAGUGUAUGCCUACUCUGUGAAGUCUAGGGACAGGAAGAUGGUGGGUGAUACGACUAGGGCCCAGGCCUAUGCCUCCACUGCCAGGUGCCUGAACAUCAGUUCCCUGAUCUUCACCAUCCUCAUGGCCAUCAUCUUCAUCAUUAUCUACAUCACUAAAAAAUAGCCAUCUUGCAGCAUCUCACAAUAGAUAACAGAUUCUGGGGCCCUCUAGGCUUGCGGUGUGUUCCAUUGUCUAUUGCUGCCCCAAACCUUAGUCUUAGUCGUGACCCCAUACAUAUGCAAAUGUUACACUCACAUAUCUGUCCAUAGUGGAUUCAAUAAAGUGCAUGUGCUGUGA